UACGAAGGGGGCUAGCGUUGUUCGGAAUUACUGGGCGUAAAGCGUGCGCAGGCGGCUAUCCAAGUCAGUGGUGAAAGCCCGGAGCUCAACUCCGGAACUGCCAUUGAAACUGUUUAGCUCGAGUACGAGAGAGGUGAGUGGAAUUCCCAGUGUAGAGGUGAAAUUCGUAGAUAUUGGGAAGAACACCGGUGGCGAAGGCGGCUCACUGGCUCGUAACUGACACUCAUGCACGACAGCGUGGGGAUCAAACAGG
This 253-nucleotide ribosomal RNA is filed under the name uncultured bacterium. RNAcentral describes it as "partial 16S ribosomal RNA". It matches the Rfam family "Bacterial small subunit ribosomal RNA", at positions 524 to 776 of the family's 1533-position model. The record is from RNAcentral.